UACAUUCUAGUAUAUGUUGUAUAAAAGCUUUUGAUGCUUUAGGUGGUAGUUAAAUUCUAUUGAAUGUAA
RNAcentral lists this transfer RNA (69 nucleotides) under Cleroidea sp. 2 KM-2017. RNAcentral describes it as "tRNA-Gln". It matches the Rfam family "tRNA". From Rfam's summary of the family: Transfer RNA (tRNA) molecules are approximately 80 nucleotides in length. Their secondary structure includes four short double-helical elements and three loops (D, anti-codon, and T loops). The record is from RNAcentral. Lineage: Eukaryota; Metazoa; Arthropoda; Insecta; Coleoptera.